AUAGUAAACGCAGGGGCUCUCGAAGUUGAGGGCGGAGAUUCAGGCUGAUGGCUGGGUGGCCGGGGUGUUUGGGAUCCGCAAGGACCCGGCGCCACGGUUGGCCUGGUCGGCGGCUGCACUUCUCUGUCCUUUCACGCCACGAACCGCUGUUGCCGGACCGCGGCCGNGGAUGAAGUUUUGGCGGGCUUGCCUGCUGAAGCACCCCGUGCCUGGCUCUGGCGGCGGCGGGUAUCGGAGCAGGCUCGUAUAGCGAGUGUCCUCGUUGGCACGGCUUGCAUCUCUGUGGCGAGUAGGUCGGCGGCCCCUGCGACCCGUCUUGAAACACGGACCAAGGAGUUUAACAUGUGCGCGAGCCAUUGGGCGGACUAACCCCAAGGGCGCAGUGAAAGCAAAGGCCGCUUGCCGGCUGAGGGGUGAUCCCUGUAUUGGGCGCAACCCCGGCGCUUCGCAUCGACCUUGCUUCGUGCGGAGCAGCAAGAGCGUACACGUUGAGACCCGAAAGAUGGUGAACUAUGCCUGGCCAGGAUGAAGUCAGGGGAAACCCUGAUGGAGGUCCGUAGUGGUUCUGACGUGCAAAUCGAUCACCGGAGCUGGGUAUAGGGGCGAAAGACUAAUCGAACCAUCUAGUAGCUGGUUCCUGCCGAAGUUUCCCUCAGGAUAGCUGGUGCUCAUAUACGAGUUUCAUCCGGUAAAGCGAAUGAUUAGAAGCAUUGGGGGCGAAACGCCCUCAACUUAUUCUCAAACUUUAAAUGGGUGAGAAGUCUGUCUUGCUUGAGUGAAGUCAGACACUGAAUCGGAGUGCCUAGUGGGCCAUUUUUGGUAAGCAGAACUGGCGCUGUGGGAUGAACCAAACGCAGAGUUAAAGUGCCAAAGUGGAAGCUCAUCAGAUCCCACGAAAGGUGUUGGUUGCUUAAAACAGCAGGACGGUGGCCAUGGAAGUCGGAAUCCGCUAAGGAGUGUGUAACAACUCACCUGCCGAAGCAACUAGCCCUGAAAAUGGAUGGCGCUAAAGCUUCCCACUUAUACUCUNCCGUUGNAGUNAGAGCUGNCCCUUGUGUGGUCCUGACAACUGAACGAGUAGGCAGGUCGCUCGGGUAGCGCAGAAGGCUCUGGGUGUGAACCUGGCUGGAGCUGCCCGAGGUGCAGAUCUUGGUGGUAGUAGCAAAUACUCCAGAGAGGCCCUGGAGGACCGAUGUGGAGAAGGGUUCAGUGUGAACAGCUGUUGGACACUGGUCAGUCACUCCUAAGGCUUUAGGGGAAACCCUAUAAAAUUGUGUGGUGUUUUCAGUUUGACUAGACCACAACUACAGCCGAAAGGGAAUGAGGUUCUUAUUCCUCAACCUGAUAGCGGAACCGAUUCGGCCCUCGUACCGACACGGCAACGUGAAAUGAGCCUGAGACGCCCACCCGAGCUCUGGGAAGAGUUGUCUUUUCUGCAUAAGCCGCUGAGGCCCUGGAAUUCCUUCGAGGAGAGAAUGGGUUUUGGUCUUGGCAAAGAGCGCAGCAGUUCUUGCUGUGUCCAUGAGUGACGGGCGGGACCUUGAAAAUCAGGCUGAGGGUUACGGCGGAGUCGCAUCAGCGUGUACCCAUAUCCGCAGCAGGUCUCCUAGGUGAAUAGCCUCUGGUCGAUAGAAUAAUGUAGGUAAGGGAAGUCGGCAAAUUGGAUCCGUAACUUCGGGAUAAGGAUUGGCUCUGAGGGUCGGGGUGUUUGGGCUUUGAGCUGGAAGCAGGUUGGCCUACAGGUGGGCCUGGCCGAACCCUUGGGUGAAGUCGGUCCCGUUCACAGGCUCCUGUGGAUAGCCAUUGCUUUGCGGGCCCGGGCAACCGGUGUCCGUUCAAACAUCAAUCAACGACUAACUCAGAACUGGCACGGACUAGGGGAAUCCGACUGUCUAAUUAAAACAAAGCAUUGCGAUGGUCAGAGAGUGAUGUUGACGCAAUGUGAUUUCUGCCCAGUGCUCUGAAUGUCAAAGUGAAGAGGUUCGUCCAAGCGCGGGUAAACGGCGGGAGUAACUAUGACUCUCUUAAGGUAGCCAAAUGCCUCGNCAUCUAAUUAGUGNCGCGCAUGAAUGGAUUAACGAGAUUCCCACUGUCCCUAUCUACUAUCUAGCGAAACCGCAGCCAAGGGAACGGACUUGGGAAGAUCAGCGGGGAAAGAAGACCCUGUUGAGUUUGACUCUAGUCUCCUAUUGUGGCGGAGCAUCUCUGGCGUAGAAUAGGGAGGAGAACUUUGUUCAACAGUGAAAUACUCCUACGGAGAUCGCUCCUCUGCUUACUCGGUGAGGCGGGGUACGGAAGCCUGGCUUUCGUUUUCUCGAAUCAACUGUGGGGGCUUUGUCUCCUGCAGGACCUGCUCCGAGGACAUUGCGAGGCGGGGAGUUUGACUGGGGC
This 2391-nucleotide ribosomal RNA is filed under the name marine metagenome. Its description in RNAcentral is "eukaryotic LSU rRNA". It matches the Rfam family "Eukaryotic large subunit ribosomal RNA", at positions 412 to 2631 of the family's 3401-position model. The record is from RNAcentral.